Podarcis lilfordi (Lilford's wall lizard) is the source of this 80-nucleotide non-coding RNA. Lineage: Eukaryota; Metazoa; Chordata; Lepidosauria; Squamata; Lacertidae. The record is from the annotation of a GenBank genome assembly.
CGCAGCGCCCCUUCAGCGAAGUGGGAGGAGGAACAGAAGGGGCUCCAUUUCUCCUCCCGCUUCGCUGAAGGGGCGCUGCA